AACACGGACCAAGGAGUGCAACAUGCGUGCGAGUCUUGGGGUGGCAAACCCGUCGGCGCAAUGAAAGUGAAGGCAGAUUCUGGUCUGCUGAGGCGAGAGCCUCCCCCGUGGGGGCCCAUCGUCGACCGAUCCCAGGCUACGCUGUGGCGGGAUUUGAGUGAGAGCGUGCCUGUUGCGACCCGAAAGAUGGUGAACUAUGCCUGAAUAGGGCGAAGCCAGAGGAAACUCUGGUGGAAGCUCGCAGCGAUUCUGACGUGCAAAUCGAUCGUCAAAUUUGGGUAUAGGGGCGAAAGACUAAUCGAACCAUCUAGUAGCUGGUUCCCUCCGAAGUUUCCCUCAGGAUAGCUGGAGCCCGGUGCAGUUUUAUCAGGUAAAGCGAAUGAUUAGAGGUCUUGGGGUUGAAACAACCUCAACCUAUUCUCAAACUUUAAAUGGGUAAGAAGCCCGGCUUGCUUAAUUGAAGUCGGGCAUGGAAUGCCGGGGCUCCUAGUGGGCCAUUUUUGGUAAGCAGAACUGGCGAUGUGGGAUGAACCAAAUGCCGGGUUAAGGUGCCCGAAUCGACGCUCAUCAGAUCCCAUGAAAGGUGUUGGUUGAUAUAGACAGCAGGACGGUGGCCAUGGAAGUCGGAAUCCGCUAAGGAGUGUGUAACAACUCACCUGCAAA
This 663-nucleotide ribosomal RNA is filed under the name Gelliodes cf. gracilis MTR-2018. Its description in RNAcentral is "LSU rRNA". It matches the Rfam family "Eukaryotic large subunit ribosomal RNA", at positions 658 to 1300 of the family's 3401-position model. The record is from RNAcentral. Lineage: Eukaryota; Metazoa; Porifera; Demospongiae; Haplosclerida; Niphatidae.